RNAcentral lists this ribosomal RNA (775 nucleotides) under uncultured Neocallimastigales. RNAcentral describes it as "partial large subunit ribosomal RNA". It matches the Rfam family "Eukaryotic large subunit ribosomal RNA", at positions 19 to 627 of the family's 3401-position model. The record is from RNAcentral. Lineage: Eukaryota; Fungi; Neocallimastigomycota; Neocallimastigomycetes; Neocallimastigales.
CGAGCACGCGCGUGUGGCAUAUCAAUAAGCGGAGGAAAAGAAACUAACAUAGGAUUCCCUCAGUAACGGCGAGUGAAGCGGGAAGAGCUCAAAUUUGAAAUCUUCAAGGUUCUACCUUGACGAAUUGUAGUUUAAAGAAGUGUUUUCUGUUGGAGUUUUGGUAAAAGUUCUUUGGAAUAGGACAUCAUAGAGGGUGAGAAUCCCGUAUUUGACCAUUAUUUCCAACUUUGUGAUACACUUUCAAAGAGUCGGAUUGUUUGGGAAUGCAGUCCAAAAUGGGUGGUAAAUUUCAUCUAAAGCUAAAUAUUGGCGAGAGACCGAUAGCGAACAAGUACCGUGAGGGAAAGAUGAAAAGAACUUUGAAAAGAGAGUUAAACAGUACGUGAAAUUGUCAAAAGGGAAGCGUUUGACACCAGUGUUGUUUAGUUGAAAAUCAAUUCAAUAAUUUUUGAUUUUGAGUAGUAUUGACUUCAUCAGCUUGCUGCUUUCUUUUCAGAAAUUAUUGAAUGCACUUUUCAGUUAACAAGUCAACAUCAAUUUCUUUUGUUGUAAAAGGGUAAGAGGAAGGUGGCUUACGCUUCGGCGUAAGUGUUUAUAGCCUUUUACCUCUGCAAUCGGAGAGAUUGAGGACAGCAGCGUAGACUCUUCGGGGUUAGAUACACUUGUGCUAAGCUAUAGCCUUGUAUAGACAACUUGUUGACUAUGCUCAGUCAUGUAGCUUACUCGCUUGUGCUAUUUUACCUACGCUUAGGAUGUUGAUGUGAUACUGCGAGCA